This 460-nucleotide ribosomal RNA is filed under the name uncultured bacterium. Its description in RNAcentral is "partial 16S ribosomal RNA". It matches the Rfam family "Bacterial small subunit ribosomal RNA", at positions 338 to 795 of the family's 1533-position model. The record is from RNAcentral.
CCUACGGGAGGCAGCAGUGAGGAAUAUUGGUCAAUGGGCGUAAGCCUGAACCAGCCAAGUCGCGUGAGGGAUGAAGGUUCUAUGGAUCGUAAACCUCUUUUAUAAGGGAAUAAAGGGCGGGACGUGUCCCGUUUUGUAUGUACCUUAUGAAUAAGGAUCGGCUAACUCCGUGCCAGCAGCCGCGGUAAUACGGAGGAUCCGAGCGUUAUCCGGAUUUAUUGGGUUUAAAGGGUGCGUAGGCGGCCUUUUAAGUCAGCGGUGAAAGUCUGUGGCUCAACCAUAGAAUUGCCGUUGAAACUGGGAGGCUUGAGUAUGUUUGAGGCAGGCGGAAUGCGUGGUGUAGCGGUGAAAUGCUUAGAUAUUACGCAGAACCCCGAUUGCGAAGGCAGCCUGCUAAGCCAUGACUGACGCUGAUGCACGAAAGCGUGGGGAUCAAACAGGAUUAGAUACCCGAGUAGUC